UACAGAGGGUGCGAGCGUUAAUCGGAAUUACUGGGCGUAAAGCGUGCGUAGACGGUUAUUUAAGUCGGAUGUGAAAGCCCCGGGCUCAACCUGGGAAUUGCAUUCGAGACUGAAUAGCUAGGGUGCGGUAGAGGGAAGCGGAAUUUCCGGUGUAGCGGUGAAAUGCGUAGAUAUCAGGAGGAACACCUAUGGCGAAGGCAGCACUCUGGUACGUGACUGACGCUGAGACGCGAAAGCGUGGGGAGCAAACAGG
This 253-nucleotide ribosomal RNA is filed under the name uncultured bacterium. Its description in RNAcentral is "partial 16S ribosomal RNA". It matches the Rfam family "Bacterial small subunit ribosomal RNA", at positions 524 to 776 of the family's 1533-position model. The record is from RNAcentral.